GGUAGGAUGGCUGAGAACUAGGCGGUGGAUUGUAGCCCCACGAACAGAGGUUAAAUUCCUCUUUCUACCA
This 70-nucleotide transfer RNA is filed under the name Sillago indica (Indian whiting). Its description in RNAcentral is "tRNA-Tyr". It matches the Rfam family "tRNA". Rfam says of the family: Transfer RNA (tRNA) molecules are approximately 80 nucleotides in length. Their secondary structure includes four short double-helical elements and three loops (D, anti-codon, and T loops). Lineage: Eukaryota; Metazoa; Chordata; Actinopteri; Sillaginidae. The record is from RNAcentral.